This is a long non-coding RNA of Seriola aureovittata, 577 nucleotides long. RefSeq lists it as uncharacterized. The record is from RefSeq and is a predicted model, not a curated record. Lineage: Eukaryota; Metazoa; Chordata; Actinopteri; Carangiformes; Carangidae. The transcript is spliced from 4 exons.
UUAAAGAUGGGGUUCUUCACACAUACACCUAAACCAGGCAGCACAGAAGGUUUACAACAGUGCUGUUACAAAGUGAUGUGCCAGACUUGGAGCUGUUGAGGUGUAGCUGAAGAGGACUGCCAUGGCCAAAGCUGUCCUGCCAGAGAAACAGCGACUUUUCGAUCUGCCAGUACACAACAUGAUUCUGGAUGAAAAUAUUCAGAACUCCCUCCAGGAGGCCACUUUGAUGCCCCAUCGCUUCAAAGGCAAACUUGGAUGUGCUGUUGUUGAUACCAGGGAGAGGUUGGAGAAAGCAGCACUUGGCAGUGCAACAGAACAGCUUCCAAUGAAUGAAUCAUGAGGAGGGCAAGGCAGAGGAACAUCCUCCAUCUCACAAGAAUUGUGCCAAGAAAUCAGCUCUAGUGGAGCCGUUUGAGGAUGAGGACCGAGAACUUAAUUCAAUGCUUCUUCCUAAUGUGAAAUUACUGUAGACUUAUUAAUGUAAGGUAAUAAGUUAGAGUAUACUUUGAACUGUUAACAAUCAAUGUAUUGUUAAAUUUCAAGUUCAAAUUUGUCUUAAGAAAAAGAUUAAAGAUGU